AUGAGUUAUGACUAUAUAAUUUUAGUUUAAAUUACUAAUAACUAUUUGUAAAAUCUGAUAAAUAAUUGAAAUGAUCAUUCCAACAACAAUGUGUCAAUGUCAAUACUUACUCCAUUUUCUGAAAAGGAAGACUAGUUGUGGAUAUAGAUGCCAGGCAGAAUACAUUGUAUAAGCUAUAAAGUUGUGGCGUGGCAAUAAAUCCACAGAAUUGGGGCUGGAAAGUAUAUAAUGGUAAACUAAAUCCAGUUUUCACGAAAAAGUCACCAGCACCGGAUACUCUUUUGAAUGUGAUUAGUUGUGCUUGCACAAAAACAUGUGAACAAAAUUGUAGCUGUCGAAAAGCAAGAUUGCUAUGUUCAGUUACAUGCAAGCAUUGUCAAGGUGGUUCGUGUUUAAAUCAGCAACCGAUCAUAGAUGAUAAAGAAGAAGACAAUUUAGAGGACUAUAUUGACGAAAUAAAUCUAAUUGAAAAUCAAAAAGAAGAAACCAACACACGGACAAUAAAAAAAUUCGACCCACAUAAUUUAAUUAAUAAGGACCUACAUCCCCAUUACACCAUUCCAGGACCUACACCAUUUUUUAAAUUUAAUUUCGUAACUUAUAGUCUGAA
Molecule: long non-coding RNA, 610 nt
Organism: Sipha flava (yellow sugarcane aphid)
Lineage: Eukaryota; Metazoa; Arthropoda; Insecta; Hemiptera; Aphididae
Exons: 3
Source: RefSeq, a predicted model, not a curated record